ACUUCAAGAGGCGAUCACCGACAUUAAGAUUGAAAUUAGCAUUCCUCUUGCCUAAGAUCAGUCCAGUGAUUAUACCGGUAGACCGAUUCGAGAUUGGCAUGAUCGUCACUUUUGAUCUUGAUCGAUAAAUUAGUCCGGUUCCCUCACUGUCAUUAGAUAAUGUCUUCAUGGUUCUUCGAUCUCCGGGGUCAUAAAUUUUCAGGCGAAGGGUGAAGAAAACAGUCGGGAAAAGAUCAAAAAUAGCUACCAUAAUCAGAAUUAUUACUGGAGAAGCUAGAAUUGGAGAAAUGGAGCAUUGAAAAACUGAAGGAGGAAAAUUGAAGUGUGAAGGGGAUUUCCCGUAGGUGCAUAUAUAUAAGGCCUAGGCAUUUAUUAUAUACAGAAACCGAAGCGGAUGCAUCGGUAACUGAAGAAUUAAUUACUUUGACCAAGGCAUGACAAAUAAAGAGGAAAAAUCUAGAAUGGGAGAGAUCGGGAAAUGAGGGGGGGCCCGAUACGAGAAAGAUCGAAAAAGGAGAGAGUCAUAAUAGGGAGAUCGGAAGAAAAUAGAUCGAAAAGUGCGAAAAGAUUAAAUAACUUUCAAUCAACUCUCUUUAUCAUCAGAGCCGAAUUAGUUAAAGCGUUGCAGGCGUGAUCAAAUCCUCACCACACGCCUCAUCUGUAAAAACACCCACCUAGCUGACAGAUGUCAAAACAGUUAUGGCAGUCCUGUACAUCUCAAUCUCCACCGAUGAUCACAAUCAUAAGGAUGGAUCCGGAGCCCUCGGAUCAAAAAGUAGAUGACAGGUUUGGCGCUUUUUAUUCCCAACCUUUGGAUCCAUCUUGUAAAGCAAGUCCCUAAGCCGUUGGAUUAAGAGAAGAAAUGACUGAUAUUCUGAACGGAAUCCCAACCCUCCAUUUUGAUUCUCUUUAAUUCUGAGACAUCAGAUUAUGUUCUUUUAAAACUAAACCCUGCAUCUCCCCUGGUGAGAUCCUAACCCUUCAUUAUGGGUGUAACCCCCUAAUAUUCGAUAGUGCGUUCUACUAUUUCGAUGACCAGUGUCUGUCCGGACAGCUAGAAUGCCUAGAACUACACUUAAAUAUUAGUGAGGAGAUAUGAAAUAAUGAAAUACAAUCGAAAAAAAUACAAGAAAAACAAAGAAAAAAUAAUAGCAAUGAAAUGUAACCAAGUUAAACGAGCCGAAAACCAUAGCGAUGGGUGACCGCACUAGGAAGUUGCGGCGUGGACUGUUGACUAGCCCUGGAUCGCGGGGAACCCUGGAAAAUAUUGUUAAGACUUAAAUAAACAUCUAUUGAAGUAUAAAUGUCAUUAGAAAUAACAAAGAAAAAUUAAUUAAUUAGUA
RNAcentral lists this unclassified non-coding RNA (1343 nucleotides) under Hevea brasiliensis (rubber tree). Lineage: Eukaryota; Viridiplantae; Streptophyta; Magnoliopsida; Malpighiales; Euphorbiaceae. The record is from RNAcentral.